CUUUCUUUUUCUUUUUGCUAGACUGUUUUGAAGCAAAUCCAGGGUACCCUGUCAUUUCACUGCUCAGCCCUUCAGUGAGCUUCUUCAGCUGAUGAGGCCCUUUCUCUUCCAGCAUAAUUGCCACAUUGCUGGUACCCUAAUCAAGUCAAUAAGAAGCCUCUGAUAUUACCCAGUCCAUAUUCAAACUUAUCUGGCCCUCUCAAAAAUGUUUUCUUGUAACUGGUCUCUUUGAUACAGAAUCCAAACAAGGCCCACCCAUUGGUGGUUUUGCCUCUUUUCUCUCUAAUCCUUUCUCCGCAGGCCAUUGUUUUUAUAUAAAAAAAAAUAGUUUGUUUUUCCUGUGUAGCAUCUCCUGUUCUGACUUUGACUUAUUGCUUCCUUGAGUGGUUGUUUCACUUGUUUCUCUAACUUUUGCAUUUCCUAUAAAUUGUUAGUUAGAUGUAGAAACUCCGUUAGUUUCAUGUUCAACUGCUUGUGAACCCUGAGGGAACUCGGGAAGGAAAAAAGACAUACCCACUAUCUAGUAAUGGCACCCCACUCCAGGACUCUUGCCUGGAGAAUCCCAUGGACGGAGGAGCCAUGGCUGCAGUCCAUGGGGUCGCUAAGAGUUGGACACGACUGAGCGACUUCACUUUCAGUUUUCACUUUCAUGCACUGGAGAAGGAAAUGGCAACUCACUCCAGUAUUCUUGCCUAGAGAACCCCAAGGAUGCUGUCUCUGGGGUCGCACAGGGUCGGAAACGACCGAAGCGACUUAGCAGCAGCAGCAGCAGCAGUAGCCAUCAAACUGCAGCCACCCCUGAUGGUGCAGCUUGAGGAAACUCAGGAUGAAAAAACAGAGGAUCCUGGCCCCAGAGAGCCAAGGAAUGAUUUCAGUGAUCCCAAACUCUUGCAUCUUCCCAUACCUAGAAAAGUGCUAAAUUCCUUAACUGGGGAUAUCUGUUUUUCUUUUAUUAAUAGUAACCUUUUGUUCUGACUAUGUGUUGUUAUUGCAAAAAUUCCUAUAUAUCUUGGCAAAAUGCUGGGUUCACCAUUUCCUUUUCUAAACAGUUUUAUCCGAGAGGCUCUACCCUAAAACUGCUGGCC
Bos taurus (domestic cattle) is the source of this 1085-nucleotide long non-coding RNA. NCBI's taxonomy places the organism in Eukaryota, Metazoa, Chordata, Mammalia, Artiodactyla, Bovidae. The record is from Ensembl.